RNAcentral lists this ribosomal RNA (406 nucleotides) under uncultured bacterium. Its description in RNAcentral is "partial 16S ribosomal RNA". It matches the Rfam family "Bacterial small subunit ribosomal RNA", at positions 30 to 526 of the family's 1533-position model. The record is from RNAcentral.
AUUGAACGCUGGCGGCAGGCCUAACACAUGCAAGUCGAACGAGUGGCGGACGGGUGAGUAAUGUCUGGGAAACUGCCUGAUGGAGGGGGAUAACUACUGGAAACGGUAGCUAAUACCGCAUACCAUCGGAUGUGCCCAGAUGGGAUUAGCUAGUAGGUGGGGUAACGGCUCACCUAGGCGACGAUCCCUAGCUGGUCUGAGAGGAUGACCAGCCACACGGUAACGUAGACACGGUCCAGACUCCGACGGGAGUCAGCAGUGGGGAAUAUUGCACAAUGGGCGCAAGCCGUAUGCAGCCAUGCCGCGUGUAUGAAGAAGGCCUUCGGGUUGUAAAGUACUUUCAGCGGGGAUGCGUUACCCGCAGAAGAAGCACCGGCUAACUCCGUGCCAGCAGCCGCGGUAAUUC